Molecule: RNA transcript, 3361 nt
Organism: Drosophila elegans
Lineage: Eukaryota; Metazoa; Arthropoda; Insecta; Diptera; Drosophilidae
Exons: 7
Source: RefSeq, a predicted model, not a curated record
AUUUCCUUGGCGUUCUCGCAAGUGUUGCCAUCGCGGCAGCGCUGCCCGGGUUUACGACCUUCUGGUUGGGUUCUUUUCCCGCUUUUCGCUUCUGGGGUCUCUCUGUUCUACGUUCUCCGUUCUCGGUUCUCUAUUCCGAGGUCUCUGUUCUCUGUUCUCCGUUCUCCGUUGUCCGUUCUCUGUUUUUGUGCCAUGCUCACCUCGCAUCCUCACAUCCUCGCCGGCAUCUCGACAACCACCUCGGCGUAUCUGUAUCUAUGUAUCUGCGUAUCUGUAUCUGCGCCUGUUCGCCGACUGCGCUGCAACCGAGCCGAGCGGCGAACCCAACCGCCUUGUGUCAAAGUGAACAGCAAAUAUUAUUUUUUGGACACUUUGCCAUCAGGUCGCCGUCGCGUCGCCCGGAGCUGAAAGACUCUUACUCGUCCUCGUCUUCGUCCUCGUUCUGCUCCCCGUUCGGUGGCCAUUGUCCUGCGGAGCUCCUGGAGUUCCAGUGCCCGUUGUCGCAUUUGAGGUCCGACUGUGGGUCCCGGAGCCACGGCCUUCGUCUGCGGCGGCAGAGUGCACCAAUUGUGUUUAAUUGAAUCCGACAACAAAAGCCAGAAACGCUGCAAAAGGGACCCCAAAAGUAUACCAAAGGCAUGGCCAAAGUAUAAAAAGAAAAUGGAAGAUGUGGCUGUAAAUCAAGAAGAGCCGGUUCGGGUUCGUUUGUUGCCAAAAAUACAAGAAUUAAUUAUAAUAAUGACAAAGAACAAGCACUUCAACGACCCCACUCCGCGUCCGCAUUCGCAUUCGCAUUCGCAUCCGCAUCCGCGCGCGUUCGGUUGGCCAAUUGUGAAUGUGGAUUACAAAUUCGCGUGUGCGAGCUGAGGAAAGAAUAUAUGGAAUAUGGAAAAACAAAAGGGAAAAAAUGAGUUUACCAGCAUUUCCGCCUUGCGGUUUGGCAGCUGAAGGGCCGGUGGAGCUGCUUUUAGACCGGGCUCCUCGAGUGCGCGGGGCGUGACUUCAAUUAAAGUGAUUUGUGGCCUCCGUUUCUGACAUCCGAGACGUAAAUAGCGGCCCUGAAUUAUGGUGCUGCUAAAAUAUGAAUAUUGGAACAUAGUCCUCGGCCCACCGGCCAAACGCUCGCCAGUCACGCAUCCCCACCUGAAUCCGCCCCAAAGUUGGCUAAUUGAUGGGCUUCUAACUAGAGCUACCAAAAUACCCAUACAAAAUGCCGUCGGCUGAAACGAAAAUGUCUGCCAUACGAAUUCCAGGCGAAGAAGAAGUGAAUUUAAUGGAGCGCCAUGAUGGCCAAGCCGAAUGUAGAAAAAAGAAGAUGAGAAAGAGAGGAGAGUCGAGUGCGGAAUGCCGUUGGAAUGUAUGAGAUUGGGCUGCGCCGACUGCGCUGCCUCCGCUUGUCAAUGGUUGCCAAGCGACUGCGGCGGCCAUCAUGGAUGUGAAAGAGAGCAACGCUCUCCGCGUCUCCCUCUCUCGCUCGUGCCAACAGUUCGAUAUUCCGCAGCGGUACACCAUAUAGCCACUCACCUGCGACGGCGGCUGUUGUGAAGUUCUUGCGACGUGAGCGACUGGAUUUCGGAGUCCCCCAAAAACCAGUGGCCCCAGCAGGAUGUCGGAGGGGGCUGAGGUAUUUCGAGGGAAAUUCUGCGACUGCGUCGUCGCCCAGAAAAAAAGCAGAAACAAAAGCCGAAAAUCGAAGGAAGUUGCCCAGGUUGGAUUAAACAUCGACCCCUGGAGCGCGGACUUAACCCGGCGGCAGCUGCUUCAGUUCUUCGAGGGACUCGCGGAUGGAUACUCUGGGCACUUGUCUGCGUCUUCGCGUGUGUUUGUGUGUUUUUAUAACAUUUGUGGAUUACGCCUAUAAAAACUACACCUCACCGCGGAGCCAGCGGAGGGCACCAGCUACAACAAAGGAUUAUAAAUCAUCUGCGAAAGUGAUUCAACCUGUCGCACGAGAGAUUACAACGGAGCUGUUUCUUUUAUGGUUUGUUCCGCUUUUGUUUAACGGUCCCGAGGAUCACACGCAAUCCCACGCAAUCCAUAUCCACCACCGAAGUCAGAAAAACCCGACUCAACGCUACGCAACGCAACUCGACUCAACCGAAACUCGACUCUUACCCCCGGGCACUCAAAAUAGUGUUUUAUUGUUGAAAAUUACACUUCUUUUAUUUAUUUACGUUUUUCUGCAUUUUCUACUGCUCACUCACUCUCACCCAGUUUCAAUUUUUAUAUGUUUAUUACGAUUAUUAUCGUUUAAUGGGGCUCGCUCGCUCGUUAUUGCUGUUUUUGUUAUUGUUGCACCAGUAGUUGUGUCAGACAAACGUGUGAAGUUGUUUUAUUAUUUGUUUUGAUUAUCAAAAUGGGCGUUUUACAUUUUUCCGGUCGUUGGGCGGCCCACCUGCCAUGGGCCCCCAGCUUAUAUACCAUAUCCCAUAACCCCAGGGCAAGGGCAGUAAAUCACAGCCCGCUGUGAGUGCCUGAGUAUCUGGGCAGCAGUACACUCGAAAAUGAAUAGCCCUUUUCUUAGGAAUUUGUCUAAAAUUAGUAGCGGAUGGUUGCGGCAUUGUGGUUAGAAAUUAAAUCUAAGCGAUUAAACUUCCAAACCGAAGGCGUACAAUCUAUUUUUGUUACUAAUGCAGAAUAUAAUGUUAAAGUUUUAAAAUGCACAGACUCCAUGAACAAUUUAACUUUUAAAUAAAGUUUUUAGUAAUAAUUUUGAUUCCUUAAAAAAAAGUGCCAAAAAAUAUUACUAACAAAAAUAUGUUACUAUGAGCAAGAUUUAAAAAAAUAAUAUCGCUAACAUACUAAAUUCAUGUAAAUUUCUGCCAGUGAUCGAGUGAGAUCGAGUGCACUCAGUGCUGGCCACUCAUUCGCACUCUCCGUAUGACCCAUAAACAUAAACCAAAGUGUGGCAAAAUGUUUAAUUUGGAAUUUAUGAGCAAUUAAUUUUAAAGCACUCGCCCGGCAGUUAACGCUGUUUCUGCCCCUCUCCCCUUUCGGCCAUCGCCCACCCUUGGCCAUAAAAGAUUUAACAAGCCAGUGUGCCAAAAAUUGAUUGUUUAGCCAAUCCGCUGAUUGAUCAAUUAUUCAAUUGUUAUCGCCCAAGAUUUGGCAAUCACGUUUGAGCAAGACCAGCAAAACUAACCGAAAGACUAUUAUUAAAGAAUUCACCGACUGAAUGGCCUGGUGAGAAUUCCAUUAAACUGGCAGGUGCAAAACAAAAAAAUUUAUUUAAAUAUGUUAUGGUAAAUAUAAUCUUAAUGAAGCCAAACAAAAUGUAUUGAAGUACUUUAAAGCUGGUGGGAAUAAAAUUUGUACAUUUUUUAGAAUAAGCAAAAAAAUUGUUAAUUAUUAUUGAUAUUUA